ACUACGGGGGGCAGCAGUAGGGAAUAUUGCUCAAUGGGGGAAACCCUGAACCAGCAACGCCGCGUGGAGGAUGAAGGUUUUCGUAUUUUAAACUCCUUUUGUUAGAGAAGAUAAUGACGGUAUCUAACGAAUAAGCACCGGCUAACUCCGUGCCAGCAGCCGCGGUAAUACGGGGGGAGCAAGCGUUACUCGGAGUCACUGGGCGUAAAGAGCGCGUAGGCGGGUUAGCAAGUCAGAUGUGAAAUCCUAUGGCUUAACCAUAGAACUGCAUUUGAUACUGUUAGUCUAGAGUAUGUGAGGGGUAGGUGGAAUUAUUGGUGUAGGGGUAAAAUCCGUAGAGAUCAAGAGGAAUACUGAUUGCGAAGGCGACCUGCUAGAACAUAACUGACGCUGAUGCGCGAAAGCGUGGGGAGCAAACAGGAUUAGAUACCCCUGUAGUC
Molecule: ribosomal RNA, 440 nt
Filed under: uncultured bacterium
Lineage: Bacteria
Description: partial 16S ribosomal RNA
Rfam family: Bacterial small subunit ribosomal RNA
Source: RNAcentral